This 311-nucleotide long non-coding RNA is filed under the name Olea europaea (common olive). Its description in RNAcentral is "long non-coding RNA (OEUR_LNC013457)". The record is from RNAcentral. Lineage: Eukaryota; Viridiplantae; Streptophyta; Magnoliopsida; Lamiales; Oleaceae.
UUGGAAGUUACAGAGCUAGUGCUAAUGUUGAUCUAAGUCCAUCUUCGACCACAUUCAAGAAUCAUAUGAGCUUCUCCUCCUUAGGAAUGUUGUCUCGAAUCACAGAAGUCGAGAACGAAAGUGGUGGAGCUAGUGGCCUUGAAGAUACGAAGGUCGGAAAUAGCAACUAUGUCAAUUUAUCUUAUGGUACCGGAUUCCCAUUUGGUUCUUGGAACGAUUCUACGAAUUUUGUUAGAAGGGGGUUCGAUAAUGAUGGGAAUGCUUUUAUGAAUAAUGAGGUAUCAUUUUGGAAUUGCCAGUUAGUUGCUGGG